Long non-coding RNA from Eptesicus fuscus (big brown bat), 703 nucleotides. RefSeq lists it as uncharacterized. The transcript has 3 exons. Lineage: Eukaryota; Metazoa; Chordata; Mammalia; Chiroptera; Vespertilionidae. The record is from RefSeq and is a predicted model, not a curated record.
CCCCACCCCAGCCAGGCCUUCUCCUUGGUGGGGGCAUCUAACUUGUGGGCACCGAUUGGAAACCGGUCGUGAGCUUUUGCUACACUCAAUGCAGGUUCGCUUUAGAUGUCGGUACAGGCUUCGUGUGGGCUUGGGGUGCACUUACAGAGAGCAUUCUUAAGUGACCUCUGCCGCAGAGAUCCACUUGGUCUGCCAGAAGCUUUUCUAGGGAUCCUCACAAAGGAAGAGGGAAAAGGGUAUCUUGUGUGACAGGAAGCUAAGGGCGGAUUCCGUGGAGACCCUCGGGUUGGCCCUCUGGCCUUUGCUCCUCCUAGAUGCGACUGGCCCAUAUCAGGGUCCUUUCGAGGCAAGGAAAUCAGCCACAUCACUCUGGAUGAGGAGCUUCGUCAAAGGUCCCAGGAUCCCUUGGGCAGAAGCUCCAGGAUAGGAAGUUGGUCGCCAGCCAUCAAGGCUCCAGAGCUAGGUGUCAAACAACCCUACUGGGGAGAUGGAGAAGCCAGCGUCACGGCCUUGGAAGAGCUCAGUAAGAGUUCAAAGGGGCAGACACACAAACAACAGCAGAACAUCCCUCUGCCCCAAGCUAGUCAAUGUGAAGAUGCCAGAGACUGACAUUAGUUUUUAAGCCCCAAUUUUGGUUUAGAAAAGACAGCAUCUUCAAGAAGACCCUAUAUUUUUAUGAAGACCGUGUUAAUAAUUAAGUUCU